UCCUGAAACGGAGCGCUACUUAAAGCGGCUUGAAAGAAGAGGUUUUGAGUAGAGAGAUCUUUAACAACGAGAAUAAGAUAGUUUGUGCGGGUGUUUUGUAACGAAAGCACUUGAUUGAUGAAAAUUGAACAAGUGAAGAAGAAAUAAAAUACCCUGAACUGACAAUUUUGAAAACACGAAAUAGUCUGUCAGGAAAAAGAACUUUUUGAACUGAAGAGUUUGAUUCUGGCUCAGAUUGAACGCUGGC
RNAcentral lists this unclassified non-coding RNA (247 nucleotides) under Dichelobacter nodosus. RNAcentral's name for it is "partial miscellaneous RNA". The record is from RNAcentral. Lineage: Bacteria; Pseudomonadati; Pseudomonadota; Gammaproteobacteria; Cardiobacteriales; Cardiobacteriaceae.